AUUGAACGCUGGCGGCAGGCCUAACACAUGCAAGUCGAGCGGAUGAAGGGAGCUUGCUCCUGGAUUCAGCGGCGGACGGGUGAGUAAUGCCUAGGAACCUGCCUGGCUGUGGGGGAUAACGUCCGGAAACGGGCGCUAAUACCGCAUUCGUCCUGAGGGAGAAAGUGGGGGAUCUUCGGACCUCACGCUCUCAGAUGAGCCUAGGUCGGAUUAGCUAGUUGGUGGGGUAAAGGCCUACCAAGGCGACGAUCCGUAACUGGUCUGAGAGGAUGAUCAGUCACAUUGGAACUGAGACACGGUCCAGACUCCUACGGGAGGCAGCAGUGGGGAAUAUUGGACAAUGGGCGAAAGCCUGAUCCAGCCAUGCCGCGUGUGUGAAGAAGGUCUUCGGAUUGUAAAGCACUUUAAGUUGGGAGGAAGAGCAGUAAGUUAAUACCUUGCUGUUUUGACGUUACCAACAGAAUAAGCACCGGCUAACUUCGUG
RNAcentral lists this ribosomal RNA (484 nucleotides) under uncultured bacterium. RNAcentral describes it as "partial 16S ribosomal RNA". It matches the Rfam family "Bacterial small subunit ribosomal RNA", at positions 30 to 507 of the family's 1533-position model. The record is from RNAcentral.